CCUACGGGGGGCAGCAGUGGGGAAUAUUGGGCAAUGGGCGCAAGCCUGACCCAGCAACGCCGCGUGAAGGAAGAAGGCUUUCGGGUUGUAAACUUCUUUUCUGCGGGACGAAGAAAGUGACGGUACCUCAGGAAUAAGCCACGGCUAACUACGGGCCAGCAGCCGCGGUAAUACGUAGGUGGCAAGCGUUAUACGGAUGUAUUGGGUGUAAAGGGCGUGUAGGCGGGAAAGCAAGUCAGAUGUGAAAACUCAGGGCUCAACCCUGAGCCUGCAUUUGAAACUGUUUUUCUUGAGUGCUGGAGAGGCAAUCGGAAUGCCGGGUGUAGCGGUGAAAUGCGUAGAUAUACGGAGGAAAACCAGUGGCGAAGGCGGAUUGCCGCAGCGUUACUGACGCUGAAGCUCGAAAGCGCGGGUAUCGAACAGGAUUAGAUACCCUAGUAGUC
This 443-nucleotide ribosomal RNA is filed under the name uncultured bacterium. RNAcentral's name for it is "partial 16S ribosomal RNA". It matches the Rfam family "Bacterial small subunit ribosomal RNA", at positions 338 to 795 of the family's 1533-position model. The record is from RNAcentral.